UUCUUCGGAGAGUUUGAUCCUGGCUCAGGACGAACGCUGGCGGCGUGCCUAAUACAUGCAAGUCGAGCGAAUCGAUGGGAGCUUGCUCCCUGAGAUUAGC
RNAcentral lists this ribosomal RNA (100 nucleotides) under Peribacillus simplex. Its description in RNAcentral is "Bacillus simplex partial 16S ribosomal RNA". It matches the Rfam family "Bacterial small subunit ribosomal RNA", at positions 1 to 96 of the family's 1533-position model. RNAcentral also lists the same sequence under 1 other name. Lineage: Bacteria; Bacillati; Bacillota; Bacilli; Caryophanales; Bacillaceae. The record is from RNAcentral.